RNAcentral lists this long non-coding RNA (1606 nucleotides) under Lepidothrix coronata (blue-crowned manakin). RNAcentral's name for it is "lncRNA (ENSLCOG00000007493.1)". The record is from RNAcentral. Lineage: Eukaryota; Metazoa; Chordata; Aves; Passeriformes; Pipridae.
AUUUUACGUGUACUGGAGAGAGCACUGAAGGUUCUUUUGUGUUUGCAUUACUCAGGGGUGUAAACAGUCCAUCUUUUAGUCAAAAUUGUGGAAACCAAAAGCUUGCUGUUAAAAUGAAUUGUUUUGGAUAACUGUUCAGGUGUCCACUUGCGAAAUCUUCACUCCUACAUGGAGGAGGCCAUUAAGUGCAGUGCCUGUGAGGCAGUUUUUCACGAACGCUACGCUUUCCUUCAGCACAGGAAGACUCACAGAGGAGGAAAAGGAUUCAAAUGUGCUCAGUGCAGCUACACGUGUAAUCAGAAAAAUAUGCGUAAGCAUGCUGAAAAUUGUGGAUUGGGGAGGACAGAAACUGCUGCACCCAGAAAAAGAAGCAAGGAGAAAAAUAAAAUCCGGGAGAACCCCAAGCGUGUUAAGUCAGAAGGUAAUCAGCAAUUACCCUGAAAUCAUUCCAAGAUGAAAAAUGAACAUUGUGCCAGUGAGAUUGCUCCUGUUUUAGAUGGGAUAGAAACAGCAGCUCUGAGAGAAGACAAAACAGAAGCAAUUUGUGAAAUGGAUUCUCAACAUGAUGGACAAAUAACUCACAAACAGACUGAUCUUGCUUGUUCUCAGUGGUUGUAACUGACCAUUUCAAAGUGUGGAACUACCUCCAGUUAGAAAGUUGGAAAAGGUGCUGGUUGAAAGCUGUUGAAGCCUCUCUGUGCUCAUAUUUCUUCUUGCUGCAAUUUCUGCUGUGUAGCCUAAAUACCACUGCCAAAGUGUGAAAAUUAUAGGGAACCUUUGCCUGGUUUAUUACAUAAAUGUGAUAACAGAAUGAGGAAAAAAAAAAGCUAUUUUCAGAGUAAUUUAUUAAAAAAUGGAUAGGUUUGUUUCAGCUUGCAUUUCAUUUUUCUCCAGCCUUACUCACAGAAUUGCAGAUUGAUCUGAGGCAAAGUUCUGCCUCAGUAGCUCUAUAGCACUGAGAGCUGCAUGAACUUCAGAUGGUUUAUGCUUUGCUGGGGUGAGCACAUGAAAGGUAGUGAUUUUUUAAUGCAAGGAACAUUUACUAAACCUCCUUUCUGCAGACACUUUAGUUUCUAAUAGAAUUCAUGAUCCUAAAACACAGUUUUGUGAAAAAGCAUUUCUGUGAAAAAUACAUGGACAGGAAUUACCAUUUAGGUGACAGAAACCUCGUUCAGUUUUGUAGUGUUUUGGCAAACACUGAGAAGUCAGAGUGCUUGAAUUCAUCAAAAUUUGUCACUGGCUUUGCUUUUCCAUUACAGUUAUUUGAGUUAUAACGGUACAUAUUUAUUGGUUUGUUUCUGUUUUCACAGUGGUAAAGUUUUAGUAAGCUCAUCUGUUCUUAACAGGACUUAAGAGUACUUUCGUCCAUGAUAAUUGAUUAAAUAAUAUUGUUCACUUUAUUCUUGUUGUGCUGUUUCCAUUGAUGUUAUAAAAUCUAAGCAGCAGAGUUGUUUAAAUUACUUGAUGAAUUUUAUGAAUAUAUAUUAUUCAUUUAAUAGUUGUUAAUAACAAAGCUGGCACAUUCUGUACCGACAUAUGAGAAUCAGACUACAUGAAGUGGAAUAUGAAUGUAGUAAUAAAAGAUAUAUUUAUAUCUGAACUCGCA